UCCUGGGCCCACAGAACGACAGGGCUACGAACGGACUUAGGAUGUUUUCAUUAACCAAGAACGAAAGUUGGGGGCUCGAAGACGAUCAGAUACCGUCCUAGUCUCAACCAUAAACGAUGCCGACCAGGGAUCAGCGGAUGUUGCUUAUAGGACUCCGCUGGCACCUUAUGAGAAAUCAAAGAUUUUGGGUUCCGGGGGGAGUAUGGUCGCAAGGCUGAAACUUAAAGGAAUUGACGGAAGGGCACCACCAGGAGUGGAGGCUGCGGCUUAAUUUGACUCAACACGGGGAAACUUACCAGGUCCAGACAUAGUAAGGAUUGACAGA
This 325-nucleotide ribosomal RNA is filed under the name Vibrio sp. Vb0877. Its description in RNAcentral is "bacterial SSU rRNA". It matches the Rfam family "Eukaryotic small subunit ribosomal RNA", at positions 917 to 1247 of the family's 1831-position model. Lineage: Bacteria; Pseudomonadati; Pseudomonadota; Gammaproteobacteria; Vibrionales; Vibrionaceae. The record is from RNAcentral.